This 80-nucleotide ribosomal RNA is filed under the name Salmonella enterica subsp. enterica serovar Gallinarum. RNAcentral also lists the same sequence under 4 other names. The record is from RNAcentral. Lineage: Bacteria; Pseudomonadati; Pseudomonadota; Gammaproteobacteria; Enterobacterales; Enterobacteriaceae.
GCCUGGCGGCAGUAGCGCGGUGGUCCCACCUGACCCCAUGCCGAACUCAGAAGUGAAACGCCGUAGCGCCGAUGGUAGUG